Nycticebus coucang (slow loris) is the source of this 942-nucleotide long non-coding RNA. RefSeq lists it as uncharacterized. NCBI's taxonomy places the organism in Eukaryota, Metazoa, Chordata, Mammalia, Primates, Lorisidae. The transcript is spliced from 3 exons. The record is from RefSeq and is a predicted model, not a curated record.
UUCAGCUUUCAUUUCCGGCAUUGAUAUUGGGUGAAUAUGAUUCCUAUGUAGUACACAUAAUUGGCUGCUUUCCUGUGAGCUGUGAAAGUGGUUGUGCUAUUGAAUGGCACUGAUUGUGUCCCUGUUGAGUUCUACAGCAUUGUGACUGUUACAGGAAACUUGAUGAACAGGAAGUGCCUGAACAGAAUUGCUGUCUGCUUCGUAGCCCUGAAGGGUCAGAGACUGAAAAAUCAGAGAUGGCCCUGAUAAGUCUCAGCCUUCCAACCUGGGCAGCCCUUCUACUGGAAGUCUUACUUCCCUGCUCAGCAGAAAUCAAAAGAAUGUCUCAUUAUGGUGUUGCAUUCGAGAAUCGGAAUCACCAAGAGAGAGCUGGACACCGAUGCAAAUCACAUGAGGGCAUUUAUUCAGGCUCGAACCAAGGCUGUCGGCCUUCCCCCAGACGCAGCUGAAAUUUCAGAGUCAUCUCUGAUUCCAUGGCAGCCCCCACAUGAUAGAGUGGUGAAUUAAUUGUCAAACGUGGAAGAAAGGAUACUGAAAGUUGAGCAGAAAUGGCAACAUUUUGGAGUAAAUAACCAAUGGAACAAAUGUGUGUUCUGCCUGCCGCCCUAACUGGUGCUCAUUUUUUUUUAUCUUUUCAGUGGGAUUUAUUUACGUUUAAGUAAAAGUAGCAAAUGUUACAUAAGUUAUUUCUUUAAGAACAUUUAAUUUAUACAACUACAUUGUUAUCAAGCAACAUUUAUGGAAUGUGCCCUGGAUCUGGGAUAUUGAACUUUGUAACUAUUGUAGCAUUCUCUUUUCCAAGUUUAAACAUGACCUUGUGCAGUGAAGAAGCAUGGCUUCUCAUUGUAGAGUUAUCAUGUAUGACAACCUGACCUGCAGGAAGGCUUUGGGUGUUUAAUCUUCUAUUGAUUUACAAAAUGAUUUGUGUGUGUGAUUAUUCAA